Molecule: long non-coding RNA, 3325 nt
Filed under: Salmo salar (Atlantic salmon)
Lineage: Eukaryota; Metazoa; Chordata; Actinopteri; Salmoniformes; Salmonidae
Description: lncRNA (ENSSSAG00000110971.1)
Source: RNAcentral
CUUCUCCACGUAUUAACCAAGGCCCAAGACUGGCUCAACUUCUCCACGUAUUAACCAAGGCCCAAGACUGGCUCAACUUCUCCACGUAUUAACCAAGGCCCAAGACUGGCUCAACUUCUCCACGUCGUAACCAAGGCCCAAGACUGGCUCAACUUCUCCACGUAUUAACCAAGGCCCAAGACUGGCUCAACUUCUCCACGUAUUAACCAAGGCCCAAGACUGGCUCAACUUCUCCAUGUAUUAACCAAGGCCCAAGACUGGCUCAACUUCUCCACGUAUUAACCAAGGCCCAAGACUGGCUCAACUUCUCCAUGUAUUAACCAAGGCCCAAGACUGGCUCAACUUCUCCACGUAUUAACCAAGGCCCAAGACUGGCUCAACUUCUCCACGUACUAACCAAGGCCCAAGACUGGCUCAACUUCUCCACGUAUUAACCAAGGCCCAAGACUGGCUCAACUUCUCCACGUAUUAACCAAGGCCCAAGACUGGCUCAACUUCUCCACGUGAUUAACCAAGGCCCAAGACUGGCUCAACUUCUCCACGUAUUAACCAAGGCCCAAGACUGGCUCAACUUCUCCAUGUAUUAACCAAGGCCCAAGACUGGCUCAACUUCUCCACGUAUUAACCAAGGCCCAAGACUGGCUCAACUUCUCCAUGUAUUAACCAAGGCCCAAGACUGGCUCAACUUCUCCACGUAUUAACCAAGGCCCAAGACUGGCUCAGGUCAGUGGUUUGGUGGUCUCUAUUAUUUGUGAUUCAAUCAAAAGUCUUCACCAGUCUAUUACACCACAGAGAGUGGUGUAUAUUUAUGGAUGCCAGAAUAUCUUUCGCCUCUAUGUUUAAUACAUUUGUCUAGGUCCAAAAGGCUGUUUAACAGCUUCUACCCCAAAGCUGUAAGACUGCUGAACAAUUCAUCAAAUGGCCACCUGGCCACCCCCCCGCAACUCGCUGUUUAUUAUCUAUGCAUAGUCAUUUUACCCCUACCUAAUGUACAAAUGACCUCGACUAUCCUGUACCCCCGCACACUGACUCGGUACCGGUACCCCCUAUACAUAGCCUUGUUAUUGUUAUGUAAGUUUAUUGUGUUGCUUUUUUUUCUCCCCCCCUUUAUGUUAUUUAGUAAAUAUUUUCUUAACUCUAUUUUUUGAAAUGCAUUGUUGGUUAGGGGCUCAUUAGUAAGCAUUUCACUGUAAGGUCUACACCGGUUGUAUUCGGCGCAUGUGACAAAUAACAUUUUAUUUGGGGAGUUUCUCCCAUUCUUCUCAGCAGACCCUCUCAAGCUCUGUCAGGUUGGAUGGGGAGCGUCGCUGCACGGCUAUUUUCAGGUCUCUCCAGAGAUGUUCGAUCGGAUUCAAGUCCGGGCUCAAAAACAUUAAGAGACUUGUCCCGAAGCCACUCCUGCAUUGUCUUGGCUGUGUGCUUAGGGUCGUUGUCCUGUUGGAAGGUGAACCUUCACCCCAGUCUGAGGUCCUGAGCGCUCUGGAACAGGUUUUCAUCAAGGAUCUCUCUGUACUUUGCUCCAUUCAUUUUUCCCUCGAUCCUGACUAGUCUCCCAGUCCCUGCCGCUGAAAAACAUUCCCACAGCAUGAUGCUGCCACCACCAUGCUUCACUGUAGGGAUGGUGCCAGGUUUCCUCCAGACGUGAAGCUUGGCAUUCAGGGUAAAGAGUUCAAUCUUGGUUUCAUCAGACCAAAUAAUCUUGUUUCUCAUGGUCUGAGAGUCCUUUUAAGUGCCUUUUGGCAAACUCCAAGCGGGCUGUCAUGUGCCUUGCACUGAGGAGUGGCUUCCGUCUGACCAUUCUACCAUAAAGGCCUGAUUGGUGGAGUGCUGCAGGGAUGGUUGUCCUUCUGAAAGGUUCUCCCAUCUCCACAGAGGAACUCUGGAGCUCUGUCAAAGUGACUAUCAGGUUCUUGGUCAGCUCCCUGACCAAAGCCCUUCUCCCCCGAUUGCUCAGUUUGGCCAGGCAGCUCUAGGAAGAGUCUUGGUGGUUCUAAACUUCUUCCAUUUAAGAAUGAUGGAGGCCACUGUAUUCUUAAGGACCUUCAAUGCUGCAGACAUUUUUUGGGUACCCUUCUCCAGAUCUGUGCCUCGACACAAUCCUGUCUCGGAGCUCUAUAGACAAUUCCUUCAACCUCGUGGUUUGGUUUUUGCUCUGACAUGCACUGUGGGACCAGGUGUGUGCCUUUCCAAAUCAUGUCCAAUCAAUUUAAUUUACCACAGGUGGACUCCAAUCAAGUUGUAGAAACAUCUCAAGGAUGAUCAAUGGAAACAGGAUGCACCUGAGCUCAAUUUCAAGUCUCAUAGCAAAAGGUCUGACUACUUAUGUAAAUAAGGUAUUUCAGUUUUUUAUUUUUAAUAAAUUAGCAAAAAUGUCUAAAAACCUGUUUCGCUUACUCAUUAUGGGGUAUUGUGUGUAGAUUGAUGGAAAAAAAUAUUCUAUCCAUUUUAGAAUAAGGCUGUAACGUAAGAAAAUGUGGAAAAAGGGAAGGGGUCUGAAUACUUUCCAAAUGCACUGUAUGUUUGUGGACUUCACAGGACAGAUGUUGCUCUCCGGUUUUGCAAUGAAACAAAUGUGUGGUUGAAUUUAUUCUGCUACUGUGUCUUCUUAUUGUCUCGGCCUUAACCCUAUAUAUCAGUGUCAAGGAAUAUGAACUAACAGGUUAUAGAGCAAACAAUGCAAUUAUCACAACACAUAGGUUGUAACAUGUUUUUUGGGGGGGGGGGCUUGGCUUUCCAAGUGAUUUUACCCACGCACCUGGAGAGAAAGGUAGAGAGUUAAGAUAUCUGAAUACAAGAAUAAAGAGAUUGAGACCGGGAGUUGGGACUUGCGCAUUGUUUUUGACUUUUAAAGGUCAUUUAUGGUUGAGCCAACACCCUCAAUGUUUGCCGUGAAUCUCCGCAAACGUUGGAAAUAUUUUCUUUAAAAUGUGCAUCGUCCACAGUGGAAUGAGCUUGUUGACAAUGUGCAUUUGGUUUAAUCCUGGCCUGAAUUAAAGAGUGAGAGAGAGAGAGGGCAGACUCCUCGUCCUCUCGUCCCUCUGGCCAGAUUGACCGUGUGGUGCAGUGUGUAAAUUCUGCCUGGCUUCCUCUGUCCGCCCCAGGACACUGUCACACUUUAUCACCAUCUCCAUGGAGACAAGGAAGUGGGUUAACACCGGUCACACACUGCUAGGAGCGAUAAUGUGAGGGAACUUUUAAACACAGCAUCCUGAACAACACCACACAACCAACACAACUCAACGCAAACCUGAACGCAACUCAGUAUAUAUUACUGUUUAAUGCUCUCCCUCAGCCUUUCCCUCGGUCCCUCUCCCUCAGCCUUUCC